AGAGUUUGAUCAUGGCUCAGAUUGAACGCUGGCGGCAGGCCUAACACAUGCAAGUCGAGCGGUAGCACAGAGAGCUUGCUCUCGGGUGACGAGCGGCGGACGGGUGAGUAAUGUCUGGGAAACUGCCUGAUGGAGGGGGAUAACUACUGGAAACGGUAGCUAAUACCGCAUAACGUCGCAAGACCAAAGUGGGGGACCUUCGGGCCUCAUGCCAUCAGAUGUGCCCAGAUGGGAUUAGCUAGUAGGUGGGGUAACGGCUCACCUAGGCGACGAUCCCUAGCUGGUCUGAGAGGAUGACCAGCCACACUGGAACUGAGACACGGUCCAGACUCCUACGGGAGGCAGCAGUGGGGAAUAUUGCACAAUGGGCGCAAGCCUGAUGCAGCCAUGCCGCGUGUGUGAAGAAGGCCUUCGGGUUGUAAAGCACUUUCAGCGGGGAGGAAGGCGAUAAGGUUAAUAACCUUGUCGAUUGACGUUACCCGCAGAAGAAGCACCGGCUAACUCCGUGCCAGCAGCCGCGGUAAUACGGAGGGUGCAAGCGUUAAUCGGAAUUACUGGGCGUAAAGCGCACGCAGGCGGUCUGUCAAGUCGGAUGUGAAAUCCCCGGGCUCAACCUGGGAACUGCAUUCGAAACUGGCAGGCUAGAGUCUUGUAGAGGGGGGUAGAAUUCCAGGUGUAGCGGUGAAAUGCGUAGAGAUCUGGAGGAAUACCGGUGGCGAAGGCGGCCCCCUGGACAAAGACUGACGCUCAGGUGCGAAAGCGUGGGGAGCAAACAGGAUUAGAUACCCUGGUAGUCCACGCCGUAAACGAUGUCGAUUUGGAGGUUGUGCCCUUGAGGCGUGGCUUCCGGAGCUAACGCGUUAAAUCGACCGCCUGGGGAGUACGGCCGCAAGGUUAAAACUCAAAUGAAUUGACGGGGGCCCGCACAAGCGGUGGAGCAUGUGGUUUAAUUCGAUGCAACGCGAAGAACCUUACCUGGUCUUGACAUCCACAGAACUUUCCAGAGAUGGAUUGGUGCCUUCGGGAACUGUGAGACAGGUGCUGCAUGGCUGUCGUCAGCUCGUGUUGUGAAAUGUUGGGUUAAGUCCCGCAACGAGCGCAACCCUUAUCCUUUGUUGCCAGCGGUCCGGCCGGGAACUCAAAGGAGACUGCCAGUGAUAAACUGGAGGAAGGUGGGGAUGACGUCAAGUCAUCAUGGCCCUUACGACCAGGGCUACACACGUGCUACAAUGGCAUAUACAAAGAGAAGCGACCUCGCGAGAGCAAGCGGACCUCAUAAAGUAUGUCGUAGUCCGGAUUGGAGUCUGCAACUCGACUCCAUGAAGUCGGAAUCGCUAGUAAUCGUAGAUCAGAAUGCUACGGUGAAUACGUU
This 1372-nucleotide ribosomal RNA is filed under the name Klebsiella pneumoniae CHS 02. RNAcentral describes it as "bacterial SSU rRNA". It matches the Rfam family "Bacterial small subunit ribosomal RNA", at positions 8 to 1372 of the family's 1533-position model. The record is from RNAcentral. Lineage: Bacteria; Pseudomonadati; Pseudomonadota; Gammaproteobacteria; Enterobacterales; Enterobacteriaceae.